CAGUCGCCGCGGUAAUACGAAGGGUGCAAGCGUUAAUCGGAAUUACUGGGCGUAAAGCGUGCGUAGGCGGUUUGUUAAGUCUGCUGUGAAAUCCCCGGGCUCAACCUGGGAAUGGCAGUGGAUACUGGCAAGCUAGAGUGUGUCAGAGGAUGGUGGAAUUCCCGGUGUAGCGGUGAAAUGCGUAGAGAUCGGGAGGAACAUCAGUUGCGAAGGCGGCCAUCUGGGACAACACUGACGCUGAGGCACGAAAGCGUGGGGAGCAAACAGGAUUAGAUACCCGCGUAGUCCCUGUCUCUUAUAC
This 301-nucleotide ribosomal RNA is filed under the name uncultured bacterium. RNAcentral describes it as "partial 16S ribosomal RNA". It matches the Rfam family "Bacterial small subunit ribosomal RNA", at positions 509 to 807 of the family's 1533-position model. The record is from RNAcentral.